AAUCUCAGCCUCUCUUCAUCUGGAAAAGGUGCAGAGGAAGAGCACUAGCAGACAGUUUGUAGUUAAGGAUUACUGUGAAGUUCUCAGGGUACGAGACAACAGUCAGGAACACUGAUGGAGGAAUGAUGGCAAUGGGAUCACCUGCGUGCAUCAGCUGCAUGGAAACACCCAGAAGAAGAUCCCUGCUCAGCCAAGCUGGCCUUCCACCCCAGCUGCAUGAAUUUGGACAUUAUGGAAUUGCUUGGUAAGAGGUGGUACAAAAAAAGUGACCAGCACUGCUGGAUCCUUAUGCCUUCAGAAGCAGUUUUCAUAGAAAACUUGCCAAAUAGUUCCCUGAGCAGCAUGAAGUCUGCUUUCCCCAUAUCCAGUGUUAAUGUGGCACUUUUUCUCCUCUCACCAAAGAUUGUAUGUUCACCAAUCUCAUGGUCACUAUGGCCAGGACAGCCUCCAGUCACCAUUUCACCCAUGAGACCUUGUCUGCUUACAAGCAACAAAUCUAGGAGGGCACCUUUCCUAGUUGACUCCCUUGGUAUCUGUAACGAGAAGUACUACCAAAGACAUAAAAAUAUUUGUCUCUCUGAAAGAUCUCAGUCUUAUCCAUGAAAUCUCCCUCUUUGUUAUACUGGUCUGAAGCACAGACUGAUACUGAACGUUUCAGGAACUCCUCCAACCUUUGUGAAACAGUUAAAUUUACUUUGAGCAGAAUAUAAAUGACAUCAAUUUUGAAAGGUCAAGGUAUGAAAUAUUAUGUUAUUGCAAUACAUUUACUGUACCCACUAACUCUCACCAUCUGUACAUCACAGACAUCACUGAACUACCACAUUUUCUCUGAAAAAAAAAAGAAGAAAGGUCUUCAGAAAGCAGUAUUCUCUCAGAAUCUUGCAAUCCUUAGAAGUUUGUUCUCUUUCCAAGGAACAGUUAUAAAAGAGGUAAGGUUUAAGGCCCCAUCAGAGCUGGGUAAAUAACUUUUUGUGUAAAGUAAAUGAAUUCUGGGGGCACUGAAACUUGGGAACUUGGGGUACUAUCCACACAUAAAUAUCCACACCAGAAACAGAGAGUGGUGCAAAUUUAAAAAAGCCACAAUAUUUAAGUUCCAUGUUUUCAUUUUCAAUGAAAUUUCUCAAUUUGAAAGCACUGGAUAUUUUGCUAUGGUAUCUUUUAAACAAAAUAUUUGAAAUCAUGUUUUUAAAUACCACUCCCUUUGUUUUUUGUAAUAAAAUAAUCAAAAGGUCUUUGGAAAGUUCCAAUAUGUACUUCCCCAAAUCCUCAGACUAUAUAUGUUUUUUCUCCUCUAAACAAAACUGAUUGUUCUUCAGAUGACUUUCUCAUGGUGUGUAAUAUGCUGGGCUGCUGCUUGCACUACAAUUGAAUUUACUUUUUAGAACAUUUUCUGAAAUAUGCUUUAAAGAUAAUUCAUUUGACCUAAAUAUUAUCUAAAUCCCUGAGCCUGUUGCCUCCUAUUGGCCAGCCCAAGGCCCUCAGAGACAUCAAAAUCUUAACUGGAGAUUAACUUGUUUGAAGGUGGUCCUAGAUUUAUUUCAAUUCAUUACAUUGACCUUUAGAGUAUAUAUAGCAACUAAUGCAGUGCUUGUCAUGUGUUUUUUCUUGGUUCAUUUGCAUCUUUGCUAAGUGAAUAGGAAUAUUUAGAGGAAUAUUUUCUGAGACUGCUUAUUGAACCAUGAUACAGGUGAAUUUUUUAUCAUGAGCACACAUUUCUUACGUCAUACAGAGAGGUAUGACAGUGAUGCCGUUAUAAAGAGGAAGGGAACAGAUCCAAGUUAUAUAUUCAGAAAAUACUGCAGAAUGCCUGUUUGUUUUGUUUUGUUUUUGUGGUGUUGUGUUGUGCUUGUUUGCAAGCUUGGACAGAUCAGUAGCUCUGUGAGAACAUUGCUUUCUAUCAAAGAGUGACUUCUUGCUUUAUGACUUCUUGCAAGCUAAGGGAUAGUAAAGCACGGCCUCUGUGCCAGCUGCACCACUUUUCUUCCACAACAUCCAGAGAAAACAUGCCUGUAUUACCACAGGCUGCCAUCAGUCAAGUUUUAGUUGCUGUAGUUCCUUUAGCUAACAUGUAGAAUAUGUUCUCACAAUGUAAUUACCAAGCUCUGUCUUGCUAAGGUAGAGAAAUGUCAAUGUUUUUUGUGUAAUGUUGGAAAGAUCUGGGAAGAGAUAUUCUUCUUCCUGUUGAGCUUCUACAUCAAAAACAUCACCACACUGUAAUUCAGGGUGAUGCAAUGCAAUGUGCCAUAACUUCACCAAAAAGUUAGUCAAGGAAGUAAGCUCAAAGUGACAUAAUUCACUUUCAAAUAUUUAUUUCAGUAUAUAACUUCUGUUCUUAUUUGUAGAAAUGAAUAUGAGCUCCAUAUCUAACUUCAGGUAUCCAAAGCGACAUGUUCCUUAACAUUCCUUCCAAGCCCAUCCCCAGUAAUCCUCACACAAAGACUAACCCAUACUUCAUUCUUGGUUUCCUCUCCUAUGAGGAUAAGCUGAGGGAGCUGGAGCUGUUCAGCCUGGAGAAGUGAAGGCUCCAGGUAGAGCUGAGGGCUGCCCGUCAAGUGUCUAACGGGGGUCUACAAGAAGAAAGGGGACAGACUCUUUACCAGGGCUUGUUGUGAUAGGACAAGAGGAACUGUCUUCUAACUAAAAGAGGAGUUAUUUAGACAGGAUAUAAGGAAAAGGUUUUUUACAAUAUGGGUGGUGAGGCACUGGCACAGGUUGCCCCAAAAGGUGGUGGGUUCCCUACUCCUUGAGACAGUCAAGGUCAGGCUGGAUGGGGUUCUGAGCACCCUGAUGUAUCUGUAGGUGUCUCUGUUCACUGCAGGGAGUUGGACCAGGUGACCUUUAAGGAUCCCUUCCAACUCAAAUGAUUCUAUGAUUCUAUCACCAGCCCAUUUUCCUUUCUCCUUACAUCAUUCUCAUGGCUGGAAUCUUAGCUUAGUUAGGUAGAUAGAGUUGUCAGGGAUUUACAGAAAUGUGUGAACAGUUCAUGGCAGCACCUACCCUAUAUCAGUAUUCACUGCAGAUCAGCUGGUAGGAAUCCCACCUGGAAGAUUGCAAUGACUAAACUGUAAGAGUUGAACUUAUUUAUUUUUCUACCCACAUCAUGCAGCUGACAAAUCUGCAUUUUAUGAAUACAAAAACCUAUAAAGUAAAGAAUGAGUGUUUGAUCUUGACUUUAUUUUCUGUGACUAUGUUUCACUGUAAAUUUAGGAUCUAAAUGUUCCAUUUGAAUCCAGGCAAACACAGAUUUUUUUAUUAUUACAGAAAUUCUUUUCCUACACCUUGAUCUACUUACUAGUCCUGGAAAGACUUUUUAUCUGAAAGGUAUUCAUUUUUAAGUGAAAAUGUAUUCAUUUAGUAUAUAGAAAGACUCCUAAUAAAUGUUUUGUUUAUGAAUCUGAAAGUAGGUCACCUUGUAGGAACACUUUCAGAUGGUAAAACAUCCCAAAUGUCCAGAUAUCACAAAUUCUUGAUCUAUCUGGUAGUUCUCAUUGUUAUUUCUUGUCCAUUCCUCUCUAAUUCUGGCUAGAAAACAACUCUUCUUCCUUGAAUACCUCUCCAAACAUGGCACUAUUCCUCAUAUAAUCUACUGUGAACAUGGCAAUGGCACAAAAAGUGUAGCAUGGCUGGGAGCAUCUUGCAGCACCAUUCAUGAUUCUUUUAUCUCAAGAUUCUCAUUUCCUAAUUUUGUUCCCCCAUUUCCUGCACCCAUAUUGUGACAACCAGCUUCAAAGAAAACUUGAGGCUACAGAUUUGUCUCUCCCUGAUACUUACAUGAAGAUCUGAGGAUAAGAGGAACUUCUCUAAGAGAACAGACAGGAAAUUCUGUACUAACAGAAGUGUGUGAACAGUGUAACUCUCCUGGUAAAGCUUCGAUAGGACUCAUUAUGCAGACAGUAUAAACUAUUACAGGAAAAAAGGAAAAAAAAAAAGAGAAAAAAGCUAUAUCUGCCUGAGCCAAAACAAGAAGUGCAUCACUGAAGCUGUGUAUUAUGCAUGAGGUAUACAAUGCUGUUGAAAAUUGAUUUUUUUUAAUGGUGCAAAGAGAACUAGCAUAGAGUGAGAUGUGAUUUUAAAUUCUUAGCCUAAUAUCAUUGCUAAUUUUAAUUGCUAUUAGAAGAACCUUGUUUUCCUCUAAGGCAUUAUGUAAAGAAUCAUUCCAGCCCAAAUAUGCAUGGGAAAUGUUCAAAAGCCAUUAGAAAACAAACAAUGAACAUGAAAACAGCAGCAGUAAACUAGCCAAUAUCCCUGGCUAUGAAGCCAAGAUGUGGCUGUUCAGCUAUCAAGCAGGCGUUAACAGAUGACAGAUAAGUAAUUAUUCAACAAAGUUGGACGAAAAACACUUAAAAGCAUCCAAAAAAUCAUGCAAAAUAACAUCUGAAAUUUGAUGAACGAGAAAAAUUACACAUAGCAUAACAGCAUAAUUUCUGCGUAAUAUUCUUAAUUAUAAAAUAUUAACAUUUCAGCAUCUGAGGUGUUAAUGGCUGUUUGGAAUCCCAUUUCUGACACUGAGUACCGCACAUUUACAUAUAGCUGGAUCUGUACACAAGUCUCCAGCCUGUGCUGAGACUCAACUUUGGCACAGUGCCUUGUGGGAAAAGCAGCACAAAGGCAGUUGCUUUCUGUACCUUGCCUGGACACCUCCCUGCACAGUCAGGGCUGCCCUGUAUAAGAAUAGUGUCAGUCAGGAGCUCUUACCACCUUGCAGGAGAUGACCAUCACAUAAAGGGUUUUUGAUGGCACAUCCUUCUACUUCCCUGACCUGAGGAAAGCCUUGUUCACUGCUGAAGGGAGAAAAAUGAUAGAUUCUGUGGGUGCUCCCAUCCCUGGAAGUGUUCAAGGCCAGUUGGAUGGGGCCCUGGGCAGCCUGAUCUAGCUGGGGGCAUCCCUGCCCAUGGCAGGGGGAUGGCAGUGAAUUAAGUGAAUUAAGGUCCCUUCCAACCCAAGCCUUUCUCUAAUUCUCUGAUUCUCUGAUUCUAAGAUUUUCUGACACUACUGAAGGACAACAAAUGGGAUUCUGAAAGCGGUGCCUGCAGAAGAUAGUGGCACACAGAUGAAAGGCAGCAUUUUGUAAUGGCUGGGAAUUUAAACACAUCCAACCAAAAUAUGCGAAGCUUUAAGCAAAAAGGAAAAAUUCUAGUUUAAAUAAUAUAGAAGUAAUUGGGAUUCAACAGUGAAAAAAAUACUACACAGCUAAACUAGAACUGGCUAAACAUGCAAGUAGAGCUGGUGUAGCUCCUUCAUAAGGCUUACAGACUGAAAUGCCUUCUUCAUAAGUAUGCACUGCAAAGUGUCUUACCAAGAGAGGGUGUAAAGAAGUGGGAGAAAAAGUGUACAACACACAGUAGGACUCAAUAGCCAAGGUAUUCUCUAAUAAAGGACUGUCCUAUAUUAAAUACUCAUAGAGACCCAUCCAAAAUAGACAGAUUUCAUGGCAAUUUGUAAAUCAAUUACUUACUUGUUAACGCUGCUGUGAGGACCGCUUUGGACAUUACACAAAUGCCCAAAACAAUCAAAUUGAGUUCAGUAGCAGAGAAGUGCCCACAGCCAAGCAAACACAUGUGCCAUGUGUAGAACAAUUUCACAAAACAAGUAACUGUAUAGAAUCAAUUUAAAAUCAGUUAAUUUGAAGUAAAAGUGCAGCUUAAAAUAUCCCAGGAGAUAGGCAGGUGCUAGAACAGUUGCCAUAUAUGCUGUGUUUUGAGUGGCAGGAACAAUUUGGUUACAACAAUUGCAUUUUAAUUAGUAACAAACCAAAGAUCUGUAAUAACUUAUGUGAAAGGCGUAACUACAGACAAGAAGAACAAAUCCUGGCCUUACAGCUUGAGCAGAAGUAAGUGAAAAGCAGAAAGUAUUAGUCAUAGCACUUACAACACUUACUUUGAAAUAUUUGAUGGUGUGAGAACAAAACUGAAUAUUGGCAGAAACAUUUUUUUUUUGGUCCUAUUGAGCAACACAAUUUUUUUGUGUGUGUUUAAAAGGGUGGAAAAAUGUUUGAACUGAGAUACAGUAUUCUUAAGUCAUGAAAAAAAAAUCUGAUUUAUGCCUUUUAUCAUUAAAACAUUAUGUGGAUACAAAUAAGGACCGUGAUUGGCAGUGGCUGGAAAAGAAGUCUGUUGUUAACUCAUUAAUUAACUGCAUCAAGUACUUGUUUGGAAUUGUAGCUAAGUAUUUCAGAAUGGAUCUAAUGACAUUACUUUCAUUGUUUGAUGCAGAUAUACAUAUUUUACCCCAUGCCCCAUCGCUCAGAUUUUUGCAUAUUUCAUAGGAAUAUAAGAUUGGAAGUCCUCCUCCCCUUUAGUCACUAAAUACAUUCCCUGCUAACUGAGACGACCACGUGAAUAGUUUGCUACCAUUCUGUUAUUAUUAGAUACAUCAGACAGCUUCCUUUUUCUUUUCUGUUUUGUUUUUUUUUUUUAAACAAACUUGUCCCAAGAAGCUCUGUAAAUCUCAUUAUGUUAAGUGCACUGCCAACACUCAUCAACAAAGGGGAAAGACAUACGAUAAAAACAAAAACAGCUAUCUUUUAACCACAUGUAAAUUCCUGACAUGACUGAAGUUGAUGGGUACUCUGCCAUUUGUUUGAGAUUUCACCCUGCAGUUAUAGAAAGAAGGUGUUCCCACUCCUUCAGGCUUUCCUCGUGGAGCCAUAGAAGCAUAAAAGGAAGGAUGGGAUUAUAAAGCUACGUUCAUACAAAGGGUUCAGGAUUUACACACUGAGUCUGAAACUCACCUACCUGAUGCCUUCACUUAGCAGCUCUUCACUCCAGAAAGCCCACAGUUUCCAGGCUCCUAAUUUGUGCCUGUUCUGGGAUGCACCAAGAAUUACUUACACACUCAAAGGGAAUUCCCAAACCAUGAGACUACCACUGUAUUUUCUUCCUUGUGAGACCUUAUAAGACUGAUGUUCUUAGACCAACAACAACAACAAAAAAAAAGCUGUUUCUUCUACAAAAUUAAGGAAAAAAAGUAUCUUUUGUCCUUACCUUUUAAUGUCCUCAUCUUUUAUGCAAAAUUUGCAGGUUAAAUUUCUCAUCCAGGAUAUACGAGAUUCAAGGUUAAAUCUCAAGAAGGUUUGAUCAACCUCACCCCCUUACCAAGGGGGUUUUAUGUAUUAUCACCAUGUUUCAAACAAGUCAGAGUGAACCUCAAUUAGCCGUCUUAACUGUCUCCACUUUGCAUAUCGUAAUUCAGGAGGAGUUCAAAGCCUGGAAAGAUCUGAACAGUCCUAAGUCCAUUCAGCUGUAUCAUACAGUAUGCAAAAAUGUGAAGAAGAAACUACAAAACCUGGACUCAACUCUCCCAGCACCGCCACCUCUGAAGAUGAAAGAAACAAGUUUGAAUGCAACAGUGAAUGCUCCACAUCAUUAAGCUGCACUGGCUCUUCCUCUUACCUUCAUUAGGGAUUUGUGAGAAAGAGAGACACCAGUUUCAGGAGAGAGGUACUGACAUUGGAGAACCUUAAUGAGUGAGAUUCAUGCUUACUUGGGAUUUCUUACCACCACUGUGUGUUGAUAGGUGGGUCCCAUGGACCCCACUCUUGCAUACCUCACUCUCCAUAUACAUAGCACAACUGCCUAACUGUUGAAGUCUCUGCAUUGAAAAAAUGGUCCCUGAAAAUUCUUCAGUUGAUGGUGGACUCCCAGAGCAUAGUGAUGCACUGGAAUGGGUUGCCCAAGGAGGUUGUGGAUGCCUCAUCCCUGGAUGCAUUCAAGGCCAGGCUGGAUAUGGCUCUGGGCAGCCUGGUCUGGUGGUUGGUGACCCUGCACAUUGCAGGGGGGUUAAACUUGAUGAUCAUUGUUUUCAACCCAGGCCAUUCUAUGAUAUGAUUCUAUGACUCCGGUACAGAGAAUAAAAGAAAAUAGAAAAUAAAAAAAAAAUAGAUUUCCUUCCUUGCCUCUAAAAUUAUCAAUCUUACUGAUCUAAUGGGAUAUAAUAAUGCCAGUGUGAAACUGGACAGUUCAAGUAUUUUUCUGGGAAAGUUAUACUUCUGGGACUUGCAUAAAUGUUUUUGCAUUCAAAAAAACAUGGAGCUGAGGAAGUAUUUUGGACCGAAAACCAGUAUUUCCCAUACACAGAAUAAGUCAUAGAGACUCUCUUAGCCAGAUGCAAAACAAGCAAAAUGUAUCAGCUGGGAAACUUGUUUGAACUGACAAGUUAAGGUAAAAGAUGCUUGUGUUUGUUGCCUUCUGAACACAAUAAAAGUCUUUCAGUCUCAUGUGAGCAGAUACUGGUUUUCUCAUUUCACUGUGUUAUGCAUUUGUAGUGCUGAGAUCACUUUCGCACAGCUGUCUCAUGGGCAGAAGAAGGAGCGCACAGUCUUCCUCUUCAUGAGUUUUUGUUUGUUCUACAGAUGUAACACUUUAAACUGAAAAUCUCCUUCAUUACACCUGAACUUUGUGUCCCAUGAUUUUAUCUCUGGCUGUGGACAUCUUGGCUCUUGAUCUUCUCUUUGUAUCCUAAUUAAAUGGAAAACAAUUACUCAGAGGAGCUGGUUAUCUGGAAGGUUUCCAUACAGAGAUCUGAAAACAGAAGUUUCUUCUUCAGCCUGGCUCUCGUUUCUAUUACUUCAAGGCACAACUGAGAUGAAUUAUUUUCUGUUCUCUGCCCAUCAAACCGAACUCAGGGGUACAACAGCCUCAUGUAGCGUUACCUGCACUGGCACACACGGACUGCUACAGUGGUUACAAAAGUCAGCAGAGCAAAACUUGCAGUGAAAAACUGACAAGAGCACUCUUACACACAGAGCACUGUUCCAGGGACCAAGGAGUUCUCAGCAUAGCAAAGAAAUUUGACAAACUACCUGUCUGUGCUUAAUUAGCAGGUCAUUUGUUUUCCUUAUCAAUCAAUCCUUCCCAAGCUGUACUUCAAACAAAAAAAACAAACAAGUUUCUGUUACUGUUUUAUUAAAUGAUAGCUCUUGAAUGACUAUUUCUUCAAGACAACUAUUGAGGCAGAGGUGAUUUAUAUGAUACAAAUGUGAGGGCAUUCCCUAAGCGUGUUGCAUUUAUUUGGUACAGACAUAUGCCUCAUUUGAACACUUCUGAAUGCUCUUAAGCACUUACAGAAACAAGGAGGGGUAUGUUUUCUCAAAAAGUAAAAAAAAAAAAGAAAAGCUGUAAGCCUUUCCUUAUUGAUGAACCAGAAGUUGCAAAACUGGUUCAGUGCAGAAGCCUAAAAGUUAUUUGCCUUCCAUUCUGUACAGAAUGUCCUCCUUACGACCAGGCUCAGUGACAGCUGGCUUUCUGGACUGAAGAAAACUGCUCGGUCUCCUAUGGAUCCCAAGAAAUGUUUUUUUUCCUACCCGUGGAUGUUCCCUGCCCCUCUUGACUGCCUCUGCCUGAGAUUCCCUGCUCCUCUCCCCCGUGCUCCAGUUGCUGGAACUGUUGCUCUCCAGCUGUGCCCAGAUGUUUCCACAGGAAGGAUCCAUCUUCCUCCUCCUCCAGGAAAUCACUCUGACUCCAGUGCCCUUUUACCUUUAACCCAACAUGCAAGCAGCAAGCAAACAAAACAGGCAGACAGUCCAUAAUGGUCCACUGCUCUCUGUCAAUAUUUUUCAGCUUGUACCGGAAGAAGAGAGAAAAGCGUUACAGGAAAUAAAACAAAUAAUUAAAGGAUGUUACAAGCUGAAAAGGAAGCUGAGUAUUAAAUGACCAGAGAAACCCGUUCAUUCGUCUGGCAAAGGACAGAAAUGUCAGCCAUCCCCAGAUUUGCAGCAUCUCUUAUGCCGUGAGUGUUACAGGUCAAGUGAAAUAAAGGUUGCCAUAUCCCAGUACAGCAGAUGCAUUCAUGUUCCCACUCUUCCUGUAUCUCUCAAGGCGAAACAGAGGCCAGCAAUAAACUGGGCUCAGAAGGCCAUCAAACCCUCACUCUAACUCUGACUUUAAUUACUGGCAGGAGCUCCCUUUCAUCCACGGAAGGAAGACAGCGUGUUGCCCAGAAAAGAUGAAUUACCCCUUUCAGCUUCAGUGGGCCCUGUGAGCACCACACCCAAUUGGCUCUUGAUAUACCGACUUUCCAAGUUAAACUCCUAAACUCAAUCUUAAUUAUGCUUAGUUGGAUCUGGCCUCUAAUUAUCAUCAUGUCUUUUUAAAAAUCGUUCUUUCCACACCACGGUAGACCUUCCUAAUAAACUACUUCUUAAGCUUUAGAUUUCUAGCCGUAAAUUUGCUACCAACUCUGAACGUAAGCUUAAUUAUUAGUAGGAGCACAUUUUAG
Lagopus muta (rock ptarmigan) is the source of this 10215-nucleotide long non-coding RNA. RefSeq lists it as uncharacterized. The record is from RefSeq and is a predicted model, not a curated record. The transcript is spliced from 3 exons. Lineage: Eukaryota; Metazoa; Chordata; Aves; Galliformes; Phasianidae.